CCGCUCUCAGCUCCGACAGUGAGCAAGCACUCACGGCGACUACUGUUAAUGGCCAGUACCAGCCAUCUACUUCACCUUCACUCGAUCUUGUUAAACUAAAUUCCACCAACCACCCAAAGCCGCUUACCAUCCUCGACCUCUCCCCCGGCCCGAUGCACGGCUCCGACCUCCGCGUCGCCUACCAGGGCGUCCCCGGCGCGUACAGCGAGGCUGCGGCCGGCAAGGCCUACCCCAACUGCGAGGCCAUCCCGUGUGAUCAGUUUGAGGUCGCUUUCCAGGCGGUCGAGCUCUGGAUCGCCGACCGCGCCGUCCUCCCCGUGGAGAACUCGCUCGGCGGCAGCAUCCACCGGAACUACGACCUCCUCCUCCGCCACCGCCUCCAUAUCGUCGGCGAGGUCCAGCUCCCCGUCCACCACUGCCUCCUCGCCCUCCCCGGCGUCCGCAAAGAGUACCUCACCCGCGUCAUCAGCCACCCGCAAGCCCUCGCCCAGUGCGAGCUAACCCUCACCAAGCUCGGCCUCAACGUCACCCGCGAAGCCUUCGACGACACCGCCGGCGCCGCCGAGUACGUCGCCGCCAACGGACUCCGCGACACCGGAGCAAUUGCCUCAGCCCGAGCAGCCGAGCUCUAUAACAUGCAAAUUCUCGCCGACGGCAUACAGGACGACGCCGGCAACGUGACCCGCUUCGUGAUGCUAGCACGAGAGCCGGUGAUUCCUCGCACCGACAGGCCGUUCAAGACGAGCAUCGUCUUCGCUCAUGAUCGCGAAGGGACGUCGCUGUUGUUUAAAGUACUGUCGGCUUUUGCGUUCAGAGAUAUUAGUUUAACAAAAAUUGAGAGCCGGCCGCACCGACACCGGGCGUUGAGGAUAGUCGACGACGCUAAUGUCGGGACGGCGAAGCACUUUGAGUACAUGUUUUACGUGGAUUUUGAGGCGUCGAUGGCGGAGACGAGGGCACAGAAUGCACUGGCAGAGAUUCAGGAGUUCACUACGUUUCUUCGUGUGCUCGGGAGCUAUCCGAUGGAUAUGACGCCCUGGAUGUCCGGCGGUGGCACCGAAGCCGGCGCCGGAGUUGGGGAGGAUUCGUCCUCGUCACAAGUGUGAGGUGUGGUUGGUGAGGGAGUGAG
This 1129-nucleotide unclassified non-coding RNA is filed under the name Hevea brasiliensis (rubber tree). Lineage: Eukaryota; Viridiplantae; Streptophyta; Magnoliopsida; Malpighiales; Euphorbiaceae. The record is from RNAcentral.